AUUGGAAACGAUGGCUAAUACCGCAUGAUGCCUACGGGCCAAAGAGGGGGACCUUCGGGCCUCUCGCGUCAGGAUAUGCCUAGGUGGGAUUAGCUAGUUGGUGAGGUAAGGGCUCACCAAGGCGACGAUCCCUAGCUGGUCUGAGAGGAUGAUCAGCCACACUGGAACUGAGACACGGUCCAGACUCCUACGGGAGGCAGCAGUGGGGAAUAUUGCACAAUGGGCGCAAGCCUGAUGCAGCCAUGCCGCGUGUGUGAAGAAGGCCUUCGGGUUGUAAAGCACUUUCAGUCGUGAGGAAGGUGGUGUAGUUAAUAGCUGCAUUAUUUGACGUUAGCGACAGAAGAAGCACCGGCUAACUCCGUGCCAGCAGCCGCGGUAAUACGGAGGGUGCGAGCGUUAAUCGGAAUUACUGGGCGUAAAGCGCAUGCAGGUGGUUUGUUAAGUCAGAUGUGAAAGCCCGGGGCUCAACCUCGGAAUAGCAUUUGAAACUGGCAGACUAGAGUACUGUAGAGGGGGGUAGAAUUUCAGGUGUAGCGGUGAAAUGCGUAGAGAUCUGAAGGAAUACCGGUGGCGAAGGCGGCCCCCUGGACAGAUACUGACACUCAGAUGCGAAAGCGUGGGGAGCAAACAGGAUUAGAUACCCUGGUAGUCCACGCCGUAAACGAUGUCUACUUGGAGGUUGUGGCCUUGAGCCGUGGCUUUCGGAGCUAACGCGUUAAGUAGACCGCCUGGGGAGUACGGUCGCAAGAUUAAAACUCAAAUGAAUUGACGGGGGCCCGCACAAGCGGUGGAGCAUGUGGUUUAAUUCGAUGCAACGCGAAGAACCUUACCUACUCUUGACAUCCAGAGAACUUUCCAGAGAUGGAUUGGUGCCUUCGGGAACUCUGAGACAGGUGCUGCAUGGCUGUCGUCAGCUCGUGUUGUGAAAUGUUGGGUUAAGUCCCGCAACGAGCGCAACCCUUAUCCUUGUUUGCCAGCGAGUAAUGUCGGGAACUCCAGGGAGACUGCCGGUGAUAAACCGGAGGAAGGUGGGGACGACGUCAAGUCAUCAUGGCCCUUACGAGUAGGGCUACACACGUGCUACAAUGGCGCAUACAGAGGGCGGCCAACUUGCGAAAGUGAGCGAAUCCCAAAAAGUGCGUCGUAGUCCGGAUUGGAGUCUGCAACUCGACUCCAUGAAGUCGGAAUCGCUAGUAAUCGUGGAUCAGAAUGCCACGGUGAAUACGUUCCCGGGCCUUGUACACACCGCCCGUCACACCAU
RNAcentral lists this ribosomal RNA (1261 nucleotides) under Vibrio sp. Its description in RNAcentral is "bacterial SSU rRNA". It matches the Rfam family "Bacterial small subunit ribosomal RNA", at positions 149 to 1405 of the family's 1533-position model. The record is from RNAcentral. Lineage: Bacteria; Pseudomonadati; Pseudomonadota; Gammaproteobacteria; Vibrionales; Vibrionaceae.